UAGGGAAUCUUGCGCAAUGGGCGAAAGCCUGACGCAGCAACGCCGCGUGGAGGACGAAGGCUUUCUGAGUUGUAAACUCCUUUCAGCAGGGACGAUUGUGACGGUACCUGCAGAAGAAGCACCGGCCAACUACGUGCCAGCAGCCGCGGUGAUACGUAGGGUGCAAGCGUUGUCCGGAUUUAUUGGGCGUAAAGAGCUCGUAGGCGGUUCGAUUAGUCGGGUGUGAAACCCCCAGGCUCAACCUGGGGCCGCCACUCGAUACUGUCGUGACUAGAGUCCGGUAGGGGACCAUGGAAUUCCUGGUGUAGCGGUGAAAUGCGCAGAUAUCAGGAGGAACACCAGCAGCGAAGGCGGUGGUCUGGGCCGGCACUGACGCUGAGGAGCGAAAGCGUGGGGAGCGAACAGGAUUAGAUACCCUGGUAGUCCACGCCGUAAACGUUGGGCACUAGGUGUGGGGCCUAUUCAACGGGUUCCGUGCCGCAGCUAACGCAUUAAGUGCCCCGCCUGGGGAGUACGGCCGCAAGG
RNAcentral lists this ribosomal RNA (525 nucleotides) under uncultured bacterium. RNAcentral's name for it is "bacterial SSU rRNA". It matches the Rfam family "Bacterial small subunit ribosomal RNA", at positions 355 to 893 of the family's 1533-position model. The record is from RNAcentral.